GACGAACGCUGGCGGCGUGCUUAACACAUGCAAGUCGAACGAAAAGAGGGAAAGAGCUUGCUCUUUCCGGAAUUGAGUGGCAAACGGGUGAGUAACACGUAAACAACCUGCCUUCAGGAUGGGGACAACAGACGGAAACGACUGCUAAUACCGAAUAAGUUCCAAGAGCCGCAUGGCCCGUGGAAGAAAAGGUGGCCUCUACCUGUAAGCUAUCGCCUGAAGAGGGGUUUGCGUCUGAUUAGCUGGUUGGAGGGGUAACGGCCCACCAAGGCGACGAUCAGUAGCCGGUCUGAGAGGAUGAACGGCCACACUGGAACUGAGACGCGGUCCAGACUCCUACGGGAGGCAGCAGUGGGGAAUCUUCCGCAAUGGGCGAAAGCCUGACGGAGCAACGCCGCGUGAGUGAUGACGGCCUUCGGGUUGUAAAACUCUGUGAUCCGGGACGAAAAGGCAGAGUGCGAAGAACAAACUGCAUUGACGGUACCGGAAAAGCAAGCCACGGCUAACUACGUG
RNAcentral lists this ribosomal RNA (513 nucleotides) under uncultured bacterium. RNAcentral describes it as "partial 16S ribosomal RNA". It matches the Rfam family "Bacterial small subunit ribosomal RNA", at positions 28 to 507 of the family's 1533-position model. The record is from RNAcentral.